RNAcentral lists this ribosomal RNA (557 nucleotides) under uncultured fungus. Its description in RNAcentral is "SSU rRNA". It matches the Rfam family "Eukaryotic small subunit ribosomal RNA", at positions 194 to 755 of the family's 1831-position model. Lineage: Eukaryota; Fungi. The record is from RNAcentral.
GGAAGGGGUGUAUUUAUUAGAUUAAAAGCCAACGCCCUUCGGGGCUUCCUGGUGAUUCAUAAUAACUUUUCGAAUCGCAUGGCCUUGCGCCGGCGAUGGUUCAUUCAAAUUUCUUCCCUAUCAACUUUCGAUGCGAAGGUCUUGUCUUCGCAUGGUUGCAACGGGUAACGGAGGGUUAGGGCUCGACCCCGGAGAAGGAGCCUGAGAAACGGCUACUACAUCCAAGGAAGGCAGCAGGCGCGCAAAUUACCCAAUCCCGACACGGGGAGGUAGUGACAAUAAAUACUGAUACAGGGCUCUUUUGGGUCUUGUAAUCGGAAUGAGUACAAUUUAAAUCUCUUAACGAGGAACAAUUGGAGGGCAAGUCUGGUGCCAGCAGCCGCGGUAAUUCCAGCUCCAAUAGCGUAUAUUAAAGUUGUUGUGGUUAAAAAGCUCGUAGUUGAACCUUGGGCCUGGCUGGCCGGUCCCCCUCACCGGGUGCACUGAUCCAGCCGGGCCUUUCCCUCUGUGGAACCCCAUGGCCUUCACUGGCUGUGGCGGGGAACCAGGACUUUUAC